CCUACGGGGCGCAGCAGUGGGGAAUAUUGGACAAUGGGCGAAAGCCUGAUCCAGCCAUGCCGCGUGUGUGAAGAAGGCCUUCGGGUUGUAAAGCACUUUCAGUGGGGAAGAAAGCCUUGGGGCUAAUACCCUCGAGGAAGGACAUCACCCACAGAAGAAGCACCGGCUAACUCCGUGCCAGCAGCCGCGGUAAUACGGAGGGUGCGAGCGUUAAUCGGAAUUACUGGGCGUAAAGCGCGCGUAGGCGGUCUGAUAAGCCGGUUGUGAAAGCCCCGGGCUCAACCUGGGAACGGCAUCCGGAACUGUCAGGCUAGAGUGCAGGAGAGGGAGGUAGAAUUCCCGGUGUAGCGGUGAAAUGCGUAGAGAUCGGGAGGAAUACCAGUGGCGAAGGCGGCCUUCUGGACUGACACUGACGCUGAGGUGCGAAAGCGUGGGUAGCAAACAGGAUUAGAUACCCGUGUAGUC
RNAcentral lists this ribosomal RNA (465 nucleotides) under Vreelandella stevensii. RNAcentral describes it as "partial 16S ribosomal RNA". It matches the Rfam family "Bacterial small subunit ribosomal RNA", at positions 338 to 795 of the family's 1533-position model. The record is from RNAcentral. Lineage: Bacteria; Pseudomonadati; Pseudomonadota; Gammaproteobacteria; Oceanospirillales; Halomonadaceae.